This 540-nucleotide ribosomal RNA is filed under the name uncultured bacterium. Its description in RNAcentral is "bacterial SSU rRNA". It matches the Rfam family "Bacterial small subunit ribosomal RNA", at positions 356 to 896 of the family's 1533-position model. The record is from RNAcentral.
GAGGAAUAUUGGUCAAUGGACGGAAGUCUGAACCAGCCAAGUAGCGUGCAGGAUGACGGCCCUCCGGGUUGUAAACUGCUUUAGUUCGGGAAUAACGACGGGGACGUGUCCCUGGAAAGAAUGUACCGAAAGAAUAAGGACCGGCUAAUUCCGUGCCAGCAGCCGCGGUAAUACGGAAGGUCCGGGCGUUAUCCGGAUUUAUUGGGUUUAAAGGGAGCGUAGGCGGACUGUUAAGUCAGCGGUUAAAGAGUGUGGCUCAACCAUACGAUGCCGUUGAAACUGGUGGUCUUGAGUGCACACAGGGAUGCUGGAACUCGUGGUGUAGCGGUGAAAUGCUUAGAUAUCACGAUGAACUCCGAUCGCGAAGGCAGGUGUCCGGGGUGUAACUGACGCUGAGGCUCGAAAGUGUGGGUAUCAAACAGGAUUAGAUACCCUGGUAGUCCACACAGUAAACGAUGAAUACUCGCAGUUUGCGAUAUACUGUAAGCUGCCAAGCGAAAGCAUUAAGUAUUCCACCUGGGGAGUACGCCGGCAACGGUG